Meriones unguiculatus (Mongolian gerbil) is the source of this 106-nucleotide small nuclear RNA. The record is from Ensembl. Lineage: Eukaryota; Metazoa; Chordata; Mammalia; Rodentia; Muridae.
GUGCUCUCUUCAAUGGUACAUAUGCUAAAACUGAAAUCAUGUAGGGAAGAUCAGCAUGACGCCUGCAAAAGGAUGACAUGAAAUCCAUAAAGCAGUCCAUAUUGUA